Molecule: long non-coding RNA, 1266 nt
Organism: Boleophthalmus pectinirostris (great blue-spotted mudskipper)
Lineage: Eukaryota; Metazoa; Chordata; Actinopteri; Gobiiformes; Gobiidae
Exons: 2
Source: RefSeq, a predicted model, not a curated record
AUUUUCAAUUGUUAUUUCAUUAUAAGAAAACAGGAGGAGCUUUUUCUCUCACUGCUGUUGUGUGUCUCGUCCACCAGGGGGCAGUGUGUGCUGAGUCCACAGUCAGACGGUGCUGUAGAUUUGGUUUGGGUCCAUGGUGUCCACACAGAGACUCUGAUCAGUAACAGCGGCACUGAGGUCAUCACCACGGCGACAGGGAUCAACAGGAGCCACAGCAGACGACUGGGACCUGACCAAGCGUCCACAUGGAACAAUAAAUGACAGAAGGAAAGAGAUGGAUGAUACUCGUGACAGUCAUAUUUACCUCUAAAAACUUCAGUCUGAAAUUCUACUGAGUUCCAACACGCAGGAUUUAAGGUUUUAAAUAUUGGUCAAAUUCAAUGCUCAAAAUUCUCACAAUCAUUUUUACAGAAGAACUUUUGUUUUGGAGAGUUAUAAAACACAUUUUCUGCACUGGUGAGUUUCUCUUCCACCGCACUGUUCAACACUUGAGUCAGAGUUAAAGGACGACUGGCAGUGCUCGUUUCCAUCUGCACUUUCUGCAACUUUAUGGUCUCUUCUUGAAUGUUGAUCAAUGAUAUUGUUGGGUCUGUUCUUACUUUAGCCACGUUCACACCAAACGCAAAUGGUGCGAACAAGGCCAACGAUUUACAUGUUAACCCAAUGUAAAGGAGCACUGACACACAAAUGAUGCGAGUUGAGCAGCAUGAUUUGUGCGUUUUGUGCGUUUUGAGCAGAGCCUACACCAGACUCUGUCCCCCUCUCCUUUAUUGUGGUCCCGGUCUGGUUCCAGUCUGGUCUCAGUCCCGGUCUGGUCAGUCCUCUCGAUGUGUCCAACUCCACCAUUUUUCCAAAUGAAACCAGAUGCAGAGGACUCUACACAGCUGCACUUGAUCCUUCUGGAGCGAAUAGAUCAGAUUUACACGCACGACCAAAUUCCCAAUCUCGAGCGAUCAGUACGCGAGAAUGAAACAAAUGACUCCAAAAAGUCAAGCGGCAAACUAGGGGCAUUUGACACAGUUUAUUCGCACCAUUCACGUUCGGUCUGAACGCGGCUUUAAGGUGACAUUCCAUAGGCCAUGGCUCUAAAACAUUCAUUUCAAUCCCAGGAGUAAUUCAGACAAGAUAAAUAAUCAUGGUCUCAUGUCAUGUGACAUGUGACACCAUCACCAAUAAUUAAAUAAAUAUUAUAGUUACUAUAAUAGUUACUGGUGGCGGUGACACUUGUAUUUGGAUGUUUUCAGUAAAUAAAAGCUGUUGACUGUU